Molecule: ribosomal RNA, 791 nt
Filed under: uncultured bacterium
Lineage: Bacteria
Description: bacterial SSU rRNA
Rfam family: Bacterial small subunit ribosomal RNA
Source: RNAcentral
AGAGUUUGAUCCUGGCUCAGAUUGAACGCUGGCGGCAUGCCUUACACAUGCAAGUCGAACGGCAGCGCGGGAGCAAUCCUGGCGGCGAGUGGCGAACGGGUGAGUAAUACAUCGGAACAUGUCCAGUAGUGGGGGAUAGCCCGGCGAAAGCCGGAUUAAUACCGCAUACGAUCCAUGGAUGAAAGCGGGGGACCUUCGGGCCUCGCGCUAUUGGGGUGGCCGAUGGCAGAUUAGGUAGUUGGUGGGGUAAAGGCCUACCAAGCCGACGAUCUGUAGCUGGUCUGAGAGGACGACCAGCCACACUGGGACUGAGACACGGCCCAGACUCCUACGGGAGGCAGCAGUGGGGAAUUUUGGACAAUGGGCGCAAGCCUGAUCCAGCAAUGCCGCGUGUGUGAAGAAGGCCUUCGGGUUGUAAAGCACUUUUGUCCGGAAAGAAAUCCUCUGGUCUAAUACAUCGGGGGGAUGACGGUACCGGAAGAAUAAGCACCGGCUAACUACGUGCCAGCAGCCGCGGUAAUACGUAGGGUGCGAGCGUUAAUCGGAAUUACUGGGCGUAAAGCGUGCGCAGGCGGUGAUGUAAGACCGAUGUGAAAUCCCCGGGCUUAACCUGGGAACUGCAUUGGUGACUGCAUCGCUCGAGUAUGGCAGAGGGGGGUAGAAUUCCACGUAGCAGUGAAAUGCGUAGAGAUGUGGAGGAAUACCGAUGGCGAAGGCAGCCCCCUGGGUCAAUACUGACGCUCAUGCACGAAAGCGUGGGGAGCAAACAGGAUUAGAUACCCCGGUAGUCC